UGGGGAAUAUUGCACAAUGGGGGAAACCCUGAUGCAGCGACGCCGCGUGAGUGAAGAAGUAUUUCGGUAUGUAAAGCUCUAUCAGCAGGGAAGAAAAUGACGGUACCUGACUAAGAAGCCCCGGCUAACUACGUGCCAGCAGCCGCGGUAAUACGUAGGGGGCAAGCGUUAUCCGGAUUUACUGGGUGUAAAGGGAGCGUAGACGGAUCGGCAAGUCUGAUGUGAAAGGCCGGGGCUCAACCCCGGGACUGCAUUGGAAACUGUUGAUCUUGAGUGCCGGAGGGGUAAGUGGAAUUCCUAGUGUAGCGGUGAAAUGCGUAGAUAUUAGGAGGAACACCAGUGGCGAAGGCGGCUUACUGGACGGUAACUGACGUUGAGGCUCGAAAGCGUGGGGAGCAAACAGGAUUAGAUACC
RNAcentral lists this ribosomal RNA (414 nucleotides) under uncultured bacterium. RNAcentral's name for it is "bacterial SSU rRNA". It matches the Rfam family "Bacterial small subunit ribosomal RNA", at positions 355 to 786 of the family's 1533-position model. The record is from RNAcentral.